Molecule: ribosomal RNA, 336 nt
Filed under: uncultured bacterium
Lineage: Bacteria
Description: bacterial SSU rRNA
Rfam family: Bacterial small subunit ribosomal RNA
Source: RNAcentral
AGAGUUUGAUCAUGGCUCAGAACGUACGCUGGCGGCACGCCUAACACAUGCAAGUCGAACGAAGUAGCAAUACUUAGUGGCAGACGGGUGAGUAACAUGUGGGUAUCUACCCUUUGGCCUGGAAUAACACGAGGAAACUUGUGCUAAUACCGGAUAAGUCUUUACGGAGAAAGCUUUAUGCACCAUUGGAUGAGCCUGCACUUGAUUAGUUUGUUGGUAGGGUAAUGGCCUACCAAGACUAUGAUCAAUAGCUGAUUUGAGAGGAUGAUCAGCCACAUUGGGACUGAGACACGGCCCAAACUCCUACGGGAGGCANCAGUGGGGAAUCUUGCACAA